AUUAAAGGUGUACGCCACCAACGCCCAGCUUAUGUUCCAUUUUUUUUGCAGUCUGUUUGUGAAUCAUCAGACAUGGCACAGAUUUUCUCUGUUAGCAGGAGGCCCAGAAGGCCAGAAGAGGGCACUCAACCUCCUGGAGCUGGAGUACCAGGCCAUAUGAGCUGCCGGACGUGGUUCUGGGAAUCAGACUCAGCUCGUCUGCAAGAGCAGUGACUUCUCAACUGCCGAGCCAUCUCUCCAGCAUCCUCCGUCUUAAAAACACCACAGAGUAGAGUCAGUGUUGUCUGCAUGUGCGUGGGUGUAGGGCCAUCUGCUGCAGCAUGGGUGUCUUACCAGGGGCCACACUGCAGAAUACCACUGAGCAUCUCUUAGCAUCUAGCACCUGCCCCAAAAUCUCCAGUCCAGGGUGGGGUUCACGAGCUCCUCCCUUGCAGAUUUUGGAUGUCCUGAUCUUGAGUGGGUCUCGUGCAUACACUCAGAAGGUGCUUUGGUUUCCCGAGGGUCAUGCUCCUUUUUUUUAAAUCAUUAACUUUAUUUUGUGUGCAUUGGUGUGAAGAUGUCAGAUCCUCUAGAACUGAAAUUACAGACAGUUGUGAGCCGCCAUGUGGGUGCUGGGAAUAGAACCCAGGUCCUCUGGAAGAGCAGCCUGUGCUGUUAUGCUGAGUCAUCUCUCCAGCCCCGAGGGUCUUGUUCUUGUUAUGAUCAGAACUCAUUAUUUUGUGGAUAUCCUCUCCAAAUUCACACUCUUAGGAUAUGUCUGCUGCUGCUUCUGGGGCAUUCUUUGGGCCUUGGGAAAGGAUGUGGUUAUGAUACAGAUACCCAAUCAGGGCUGAGCACUCCAAUGUCACUUAUUCUCUGCACUUGGACCACUUGUGAGUCUCUGAAUUAACUGCUAGUGGAGUUUAUCAGUGUGAAGCUGGCAGGGCUUUUCUUCAUGGUCUCCCCUGGCUUUCACUCCUCUAAUCAACUCUCCCAAAGUCUCUCUUUGGAGGGGAGACAGGAGACGAGGAGUGUUUCAAGGUGGACACACUCCUCGGCCUUACUCAUGAGGCCCAGGCCACCUCUCUGAGCUGAGGGCAGGGAGCUUUCCUUCCCCACGGACAGACAGGAAGACAGCAGGGAAGACUGGAAGGAAUCAGGAAGGAAUCUGAGAGGCAGGAAGAAGGCUAGCAGGUGUGGGAAAGGGGGGAGAGAGAAAUGGAAGACCACGGUGGUAAGUGCGGUGAACACAGGAUAGGAGUGACAGGAGUGACAGGAAUAGUCGUCAUGAAACCAUGUACAGCUUUUACACCAGCUCACAGGAUGCAAAGCUGAGGGGAUAUUGGCAGCCGACAGCUUCUGGGAAAGGGAGAACUGUUUCCUUUAGGGUGGCUCUCAUAGGUCGACCGUGCUCCAGGGAGCACCCACUCAUCCAAGAGAGUACCGGAAGCACCAAGUGCAAGAGGAUGGCUUAGAUGUUGAGGACACUUGUUGCCCUUGAAGGGGCCCUGAGUCCCACCCUUGGUGUCCACACGGCAGCUCACAACUGUCUGCAACUCCCCUCCCAGGGGAUCCAACUCUUUUUCCCGACGUCAGUGGGAGCCAGGAAUGUGCAUGGUGGACAUAUUAUACUUGCAGCCAAAGUGCUCACACGUAUAAAAUGAUUGGAUAAAAGUGCUAAAAGAGAACACAAGGCUGAAUGGGUGUGAGCUGGGGUGGAUCCAGGAGGAGUCUGGGACAAAAGAAUAAAUAAGACAAACAUAUUCGAAAUUCCCAAGGAGCCAACACCAAGAUGCACAGCUCAGGUAAUAUGGAGACAGAUAAAGACUGACAAUAAGCAGUAGACGAUGCCACAAGAGCAAUAGAGGGAAGCAGGGGCGUGGACAGAGGCCACCGCUGGUAGACAUUAAUUGACACACAGGGCUGGAGAGUCAAGCAUGAGAGAGUGGGACGGCCGAAUGGAGACACCAAGAGACGCUGUACGUAGGGAUCAGAGGUCUCCCCUUUCUGUCCUCACUCCUGUCUAUCCUCCUUUCCCUCCACUCCUGCCUCCUCUCUGUCUCAGACUCUCCGUGUUUCUCUCAUCUGUUCCCAACGCUUGGCAUUUCCUAUUCCACUUCCUCUGCGAGUGCUCAUGGGCAGUGCCCAUGGCUGUCCAUCCUGUGCCUCAAGCCUGGUGCCCAGAGCUGAGUGAAGCUUAUUGUUCAGGACCCGACAGGUGGUCUCACCCUGCGGCAAGUUCAGCAUCUGAGCAGCAGGAACUGUCCAGGGCCCCAUGGCUGAGCUCAGGGAUGCCACAUGUGGACAACUGGGGGCAACCCUGGGGAUGAGUCCUCUACCUCCUUCAAUUUUCCAGAGUUGGAGUUGAUGUCUGUGAAAGAGGAUGCCCAGAAUUGAGACUUACCGAUCAGUCUGUUACAGCUGUCCAAUAAGAGCUGUGCAAACACUUCUUGUUAGUCUACUUGAGAAUGACUUUACAAGGAUGGUAGCGUCAACCCAGCAUUAACUUCUUUAGGACUGGAGUUCAGUUAUGUGUUUAUGGCUCUCUCUCUGCUGCGUUUAGUAAAUGAUUCUGUGAUGAAUAAACGAACUGUGAAA
Long non-coding RNA from Mesocricetus auratus (golden hamster), 2577 nucleotides. RefSeq lists it as uncharacterized. The record is from RefSeq and is a predicted model, not a curated record. The transcript is spliced from 2 exons. Lineage: Eukaryota; Metazoa; Chordata; Mammalia; Rodentia; Cricetidae.